AGGGGUGUAGCUCAGUGGUAGACUAUGUGCUUAGCAGGCACAAGGUCCUGGGUUCAACCCCCAGUGCCUCCA
Transfer RNA from Camelus ferus (Wild Bactrian camel), 72 nucleotides. It matches the Rfam family "tRNA". From Rfam's summary of the family: Transfer RNA (tRNA) molecules are approximately 80 nucleotides in length. Lineage: Eukaryota; Metazoa; Chordata; Mammalia; Artiodactyla; Camelidae. The record is from Rfam.